AUACGGGGGGUGCAAGCGUUAUUCGGAAUCACUGGGCGUAGAGGGCGCGCAGGCGGUUUGGUAAGUCAGAUGUGAAAGCCCGGGGCUCAACCCCGGAAGUGCAUUUGAUACUGCCUGACUUGAGUAUGGGAGAGGGAAGUGGAAUUCCUGGUGUAGAGGUGAAAUUCGUAGAUAUCAGGAGGAACACCGGUGGCGAAGGCGACUUCCUGGACCAAUACUGACGCUGAGGCGCGAAAGCGUGGGGAGCAAACAGGAUUAGAAACCCGGGUAGUCC
RNAcentral lists this ribosomal RNA (274 nucleotides) under uncultured bacterium. Its description in RNAcentral is "partial 16S ribosomal RNA". It matches the Rfam family "Bacterial small subunit ribosomal RNA", at positions 523 to 796 of the family's 1533-position model. The record is from RNAcentral.